This 254-nucleotide ribosomal RNA is filed under the name uncultured bacterium. Its description in RNAcentral is "partial 16S ribosomal RNA". It matches the Rfam family "Bacterial small subunit ribosomal RNA", at positions 524 to 777 of the family's 1533-position model. The record is from RNAcentral.
UACGGAGGGAGCUAGCGUUGUUCGGAAUUACUGGGCGUAAAGCGCACGUAGGCGGCUACUCAAGUCAGAGGUGAAAGCCCGGGGCUCAACCCCGGAACUGCCUUUGAAACUAGGUAGCUAGAAUCUUGGAGAGGUCAGUGGAAUUCCGAGUGUAGAGGUGAAAUUCGUAGAUAUUCGGAAGAACACCAGUGGCGAAGGCGACUGACUGGACAAGUAUUGACGCUGAGGUGCGAAAGCGUGGGGAGCAAACAGGG